CAGGACGAACGCUGGCGGCGUGCCUAAUACAUGCAAGUCGAACGGUCUUUCUAUGGAAGCUUGCUUCCACUGGGAAGAUAGUGGCGAACGGGUGAGUAACACGUGGGUAACCUGCCCAUAAGAGGGGGAUAACAUCCGGAAACGGGUGCUAAUACCGCAUAGUUUUCUUGAUCGCAUGAUCGGGAAAGGAAAGACGGCCUUUGUGCUGUCGCUUAUGGAUGGACCCGCGGCGUAUUAGUUAGUUGGUGAGGUAACGGCUCACCAAGACGAUGAUACGUAGCCGACCUGAGAGGGUGAUCGGCCACAUUGGGACUGAGACACGGCCCAAACUCCUACGGGAGGCAGCAGUAGGGAAUCUUCCGCAAUGGACGAAAGUCUGACGGAGCAACGCCGCGUGAGUGAAAGAAGGUUUUCGGAUCGUAAAACUCUGUUGUCAGAGAAGAACAAGUUGGAGAGUAACUGCUCCAGCCUUGACGGUAUCUGACCAGAAAGCCACGGCUAACUACGUGCCAGCCGCCGC
This 520-nucleotide ribosomal RNA is filed under the name uncultured bacterium. RNAcentral describes it as "bacterial SSU rRNA". It matches the Rfam family "Bacterial small subunit ribosomal RNA", at positions 25 to 518 of the family's 1533-position model. The record is from RNAcentral.